GCCGACUUAGACUCAAUUGGUAGAGCAACUGAUUUGUAAUCAGUAGGUUGGGGGUUCAAGUCCUCUAGUCGGCACCA
This 77-nucleotide transfer RNA is filed under the name Erysipelothrix sp. Poltava. Its description in RNAcentral is "tRNA-Thr". It matches the Rfam family "tRNA". Rfam says of the family: Transfer RNA (tRNA) molecules are approximately 80 nucleotides in length. Lineage: Bacteria; Bacillati; Bacillota; Erysipelotrichia; Erysipelotrichales; Erysipelotrichaceae. The record is from RNAcentral.